RNAcentral lists this long non-coding RNA (1371 nucleotides) under Volvox carteri. Its description in RNAcentral is "long non-coding RNA (VCAR_LNC004168)". Lineage: Eukaryota; Viridiplantae; Chlorophyta; Chlorophyceae; Chlamydomonadales; Volvocaceae. The record is from RNAcentral.
UUAGGGGAAGACCUAAAGGGGUUCCCCUUUAGGGGAAGAACUAAAGGGUUGUCUUCUUUAGGGUUGUCCCCUUGAGUUCGUCUUCUUUAGGGGAACCAAAAGGGAAGAACCAAAGUCUUCCCCUAAAGGGGAACCCUUCUUCCCCGUUAGUGUUCUUCCCCUAAAGGGAACCCCUUUAGUUCGUCCCCUUUAGGGGAACCAAAGGGGUGUUCUUCCCCUUUAGGGGAACCCCUAAAGGGGAAGAACUCCCCUACGGUUCCCCUUUAGGGGAUGAAGAAGGGGGUUCGUCCCCUUUAGGGGAACCAAAGGGGAAGACGAAGGGGUGUUCCCCUUCGGGGAUACGAAGGGGAAGAACUAAAGGGGAAGAAGAACACUAAAGUUCCCCUUUAGGGGAAGAACUUUAGGGGAUGAACUUUAGGGGAACCCAAGGGGGGGGCACCAAACUUGUUCCCCAUCCCCUAAAGGAGAACAAAGGGGACAGAAAACCAAAGGUUGUACCUUUGUUCAUCCCCUAAAGGGGAACUAAAGGGGAUGGAAACCUUUGGGGAACCUUUGGUUGUCUUCUUUGGGCUCGUCAAGUUUGGUUGUCCCCUUUGGUUCCCCUUCGGGGACUUAGACCAAACUUGACGAGCCCAAAGAAGACAACCAAAGGGGGACGCGGUCACCCUAGGAUAUAACCGAAGGGGUUCCCCUAAAGGGGAAGACAAGGAAAGCGUUACUCUAUUUCCUAUAGUUCUAACCUAGUUAAAUACCAUCGUUCAACAUUUCAUGCUCUCCACCAAGCUAGACACGCUAAUAUUUGAAUGAGUGCAAAGCGGGGAUAUAAACUACAAGUAGUAGCUUAACGAAGCCCACUGUGAAUUUCUCGAACAAAGCAAUGUUGUAACGUAGUCUAAACUACAAUAGUCAUGUCGUAGCCAUUCCCCGAAGGGGACGACGUUAGCGUUACUAAUUAACGCUAGGGCUCAAGGGCGAAGACCCUUCCCCUCGUUUGCUUCCUUACCUUCCCCCUUCGGUUCCCCUUUAGGGGAGCCCAAAGGGGAUGCUUCCCCCCCUUCGGCAUCAUCCCCUAAAGGGGAACUAAAGUUCUUCCCCUAAAGGGGAUGAACUAAAGGGGAAGACGACAUCCCCGAAGGGGGAACAUCAUCCCCUAAAGGGGAACCAAAGUCAUCCCCGAAGGGGAAGAGCACUAAAGGGGAACUAAAGUUCCCCUUUAGUUUAUCCCCUAAAGGGGAACUAAAGUUCCCCUUUAGGGGAAGAAGAAGAAGAAGAAGAACAAGAAGGGGAAAUCAUCCCCCUCUGGUUCUUCCCCUAAUGGGGAACUUUAGGGGAAGAACCAAAGGUGCCCCAAAGGGGAUGACUUCUUUCNNN